Enhydra lutris kenyoni (northern sea otter) is the source of this 828-nucleotide long non-coding RNA. RefSeq lists it as uncharacterized. The record is from RefSeq and is a predicted model, not a curated record. Lineage: Eukaryota; Metazoa; Chordata; Mammalia; Carnivora; Mustelidae. The transcript is spliced from 4 exons.
AACCUCUCAAGGGUGGAUCCUGUGAGUUCCUGGCUAAAGCAGUGACUGAGGUUAAGAGAGUGAGAAAAAAUGAGAUUGCUACCUGAUUGGCCGACAAGGAAAGGAGUCGGGCAUUCACAAGGGUCCCUCUUCAGGGGUCUCAGUCCAGAGUGAACCUUACCUUCUGUCUGUUGCUCUUUUAUUUUACCUCAGACUUGAAUUUGGGAGGCGUCCUUUUAUUUCCUAUUGAUGAUAAAGAGUCAAGAAACAGUGGGCAAGAUUUGUUGGCCUUGAUUGUGGCUCAGCACCGUGACCACGCAAAUGUCCUGUCUGGCAUUAAGAUGGCAGCCCUAGAAGAGGGCCUGAAGAAGAUCUAUUUAGCAGCAAAGAGAAAGAAAGCAAGUGUUCAUCUUCCACGCAUUGGACAUGCCACGAAAGGUUUUAACUGGUAUGGUACUGAGCGACUUAUUCGGAAACAUCUGGCUGCGAAAGGCAUCCCAACUUACAUAUAUUACUUUCCUAGAAGCAGGGCAGCUGUUCAUCCACCAUCCUCUUCUUCCCCAGGACAGCUGGCACCUUAACAGUUGGCCAGUAUCACAGUCAGCAUUCAGCAAACAGUUAAUAUUUGCCCAGAGCUACUGAAUUAGAGUGUUUCAAAAAAGAGUCUGGAUCUGGUGGGCCUCUGAGAUACUGUGUUUUCUGAAUUCUCAUUUUGUUCUCAGGAUGUGUUACUCUGAUUUGGUACCUGUAAUACAGGGAUGCACACCUUAAUUGGGAAAGUCCUCUGGCUGUUUGCCAGGGCUUCCAUUUGCAUAGCUAUUUGCGUAAUAAAAAUUUUUCUAUCUCUAA